Molecule: ribosomal RNA, 465 nt
Filed under: uncultured Klebsiella sp.
Lineage: Bacteria; Pseudomonadati; Pseudomonadota; Gammaproteobacteria; Enterobacterales; Enterobacteriaceae
Description: bacterial SSU rRNA
Rfam family: Bacterial small subunit ribosomal RNA
Source: RNAcentral
CCUACGGGAGGCAGCAGCGGGGAAUAUUGCACAAUGGGCGCAAGCCUGAUGCAGCCAUGCCGCGUGUGUGAAGAAAGCCUUCGGGUUGUAAAGCACUUUCAGCGGGGAGGAAGGCGUUAAGGUUAAUAACCUUGGCGAUUGACGUUACCCGCAGAAGAAGCACCGGCUAACUCCGUGCCAGCAGCCGCGGUAAUACGGAGGGUGCAAGCGUUAAUCGGAAUUACUGGGCGUAAAGCGCACGCAGGCGGUCUGUCAAGUCGGAUGUGAAAUCCCCGGGCUCUACCUGGGAACUGCAUUCGAAACUGGCAGGCUAGAGUCUUGUAGAGGGGGGUAGAAUUCCAGGUGUAGCGGUGAAAUGCGUAGAGAUCUGGAGGAAUACCGGUGGCGAAGGCGGCCCCCUGGACAAAGACUGACGCUCAGGUGCGAAAGCGUGGGGAGCAAACAGGAUUAGAUACCCGAGUAGUC